Molecule: long non-coding RNA, 537 nt
Organism: Onychomys torridus (southern grasshopper mouse)
Lineage: Eukaryota; Metazoa; Chordata; Mammalia; Rodentia; Cricetidae
Exons: 3
Source: RefSeq, a predicted model, not a curated record
AAUGCGUCUUUCUCGAUCCGGAGCCCCAUCCUCCUCUGCCUUGCAGACGCCUCCAAGCAGUGUCAUCACCUCGUGCGUUUAUGAGUCGUGGUACUGAGGACAUGCCCAAUGCUCCUAGCGUUUAGGAGGCGCAGCACCAACAGAAUACAUCAAUGCAUCAAUGGCCUUCGAGCCAAUGAUUGAUCGUGGCUCCACCGCGCAAUUCUGGAAGAGCGCUUACUUACCUUGCAAGCCGCCGAGGCCCUGUGUUCAGUUCUUAGUACCGCGAAGGGAGCGGCAAAUUAUCCUUUUGAUAUUCGAAGACUUUGCUGCCUGCACACUGGUGUGGUGGAAACAACGCUGAAAACCUGGUGCUCCGUGUACGCUUGCAGUGCAACUGUGUGCACCUUUGGGUUUUUGUCAUGAUAUUAAUGGUCAUCUAGAGAACUAAUUCUAGAAGGCUUCAUAAUUCUAGAAGGCUUCAUCUAACUUCCUGAACAUGACUUUUUUGUGUUUGAGUCUCUACCAGUUUUCUGCAGUGAACCAAGACCAUGCCUA